This 450-nucleotide ribosomal RNA is filed under the name uncultured prokaryote. RNAcentral describes it as "bacterial SSU rRNA". It matches the Rfam family "Bacterial small subunit ribosomal RNA", at positions 355 to 796 of the family's 1533-position model. The record is from RNAcentral.
UCGGGAAUUUUGGGCAAUGGGCGCAAGCCUGACCCAGCAACGCCGUGUGAAGGAUGAAGGCCUUCGGGUCGUAAACUUCUGUCGGGAGGGAAGAAAGGUCGCUGUUCGAAUAGGGCAGGGGCUUGACGGUACCUCCAAAGGAAGCACCGGCUAACUCCGUGCCAGCAGCCGCGGUAAUACGGAGGGUGCAAGCGUUGUUCGGAAUUACUGGGCGUAAAGCGAGUGUAGGCGGCUUCGCAAGUCGGAUGUGAAAUCCCAGGGCCUAACCCUGGAACUGCAUCCGAAACUGCGUCGCUUGAGUCCCGGAGAGGAUGGCGGAAUUUCCGGUGUAGAGGUGAAAUUCGUAGAUACCGGAAGGAACACCAGUGGCGAAGGCGGCCAUCUGGACGGUGACUGACGCUGAGACUCGAAAGCGUGGGGAGCAAACAGGAUUAGAUACCCCCGUAGUCC